UAUGAAAGAAAAAACGUAAAAAGAAAGAAAAUAAAAUAAAAUGGGAAAAGAAAUAAAUAUUACAAUGAUAACAAUAUUUUUUGUCAUCAUAAUCAUCAUUAUUAUCGUAAAAAAUGUAGUUUUACGUGCUAGAUUUAAGAUACUUCAAAGAGAAAUAUCGCCAAGUCGUAAUGCCAUAGUCUCAUCUGCAUUACGAAAGAACGGACGAUUUUAGGCUGGCAAACGCAUGUGUCUCGCGAGACAUCGAGAUCUAUUUAAAAUUUGAAAGCUAAACGAUUAGCCAGUUUCAAGGGUAAUGUCGACCUCAAAUCACUUUGACGAUUGUACGCAUUGCGAAUCGCACGCAUCACGCGAAUCGCACGCAUCCAAGGUGCCAGGACAAAGAACAUUUACGUGCAAAAGAAUGAUUUAACAAAUUGGAAAUAUCUUUUCGUAUUUUUUCCGAGAUAAAAUGAUAUCAAUGAUAGACGUUGGAUUACUAUGAAUUUUGAGUUUAAAUUUCUACGAAAUGAAAAAGAAAAAAAAUGAUGAUGAUAAUAAUAAUAAGAAGAAGAAAAAAGAAAAAUAGAUGACAUUAAAAUUAAACAUGAUAUUAAAAUUAAAAUUAAACGAACAGGAAUAUUGAUUAAGAGAUAAGAUGAAUUUGAAAGUAAAGGCAAUGUUUUGAAAUUUGAAUAAGAUAUAGGAACUAAUAGUAAAAUGAAAGAAUAAUAUUGUCAAAAAUUUUUCCAGCGGUCGAUAAAAUUUCUUUCUAUCCGAAUAUCGCAAUCUCGUGAUUUCGUUCGAUAAGCAA
Molecule: long non-coding RNA, 793 nt
Organism: Vespa velutina
Lineage: Eukaryota; Metazoa; Arthropoda; Insecta; Hymenoptera; Vespidae
Exons: 2
Source: RefSeq, a predicted model, not a curated record